This 273-nucleotide ribosomal RNA is filed under the name uncultured soil bacterium. Its description in RNAcentral is "partial 16S ribosomal RNA". It matches the Rfam family "Bacterial small subunit ribosomal RNA", at positions 26 to 310 of the family's 1533-position model. The record is from RNAcentral.
AGAUUGAACGCUGGCGGCAUGCCUAACACAUGCAAGUCGAACGGGAGUAGCAAUACUCUAGUGGCGGACGGGUGAGGAAUACGUAGGAAUUUGCCCUUAAGUGGGGGAUAACCCGGGGAAACCCGGAUUAAUACCGCAUGACCUCGAAAGAGCAAAGUGGGGGAUCGCAAGACCUCACGCUUUUGGAGAAGCCUACGUCGGAUUAGCUAGUUGGUGAGGUAAUGGCUCACCAAGGCGACGAUCCGUAACUGGUCUGGAGAGGAUGAUCAGUCA